GUGAGUAACGCGUGGAUAAUCUACCCAAAGGUUCGGAAUAACAGUUGGAAACGACUGAUAAUACUGGAUAUCCUGGCAACGGGAAAGGUGGCCUCUAUUUAUAAGCUACUGCCUUUGGAUGAGUCCGCGUCUCAUUAGCUAGACGGUAGGGUAACGGCCUACCGUGGCAACGAUGAGUAGCAGGCCUGAGAGGGUGGCCUGCCACACUGGGACUGGAACACGGCCCAGACUCCUACGGGAGGCAGCAGUGGGGAAUAUUGCGCAAUGGGGGAAACCCUGACGCAGCGACGCCGCGUGGAGGAUGAAGGCUUUCGGGUCGUAAACUCCUGUCAAGAGGGAAGAAAUUUGCGGAGAGUAAUAUGCUCUGUAAUUGACGGUACCUCUAGAGGAAGCACCGGCUAAUUCCGUGCCAGCAGCCGCGGUAAUACGGAAGGUGCAAGCGUUAAUCGGAAUCACUGGGCGUAAAGCGCUCGUAGGUUGCUUUGUAAGUCAGGUGUGAAAGCCCACGGCUCAACCGUGGAAUUGCACUUGAUACUGCAUUGCUUGAGUUCGGGAGAGGGUAGUGGAAUUCCAGGUGUAGGAGUGAAAUCCGUAGAUAUCUGGAGGAACACCAGUGGCGAAGGCGACUACCUGGACCGAUACUGACACUGAGGAGCGAAAGCGUGGGGAGCAAACAGGAUUAGAUACCCUGGUAG
This 695-nucleotide ribosomal RNA is filed under the name Desulfovibrio sp. PR2_D10. Its description in RNAcentral is "bacterial SSU rRNA". It matches the Rfam family "Bacterial small subunit ribosomal RNA", at positions 106 to 793 of the family's 1533-position model. The record is from RNAcentral. Lineage: Bacteria; Pseudomonadati; Thermodesulfobacteriota; Desulfovibrionia; Desulfovibrionales; Desulfovibrionaceae.